CAGAAGUUUUCGGAUGGAAGCUUGUAAACUUAGUGGCGGACGGGUGAGUAACACGUGAGCAACCUGCCUUACAGAGGGGGAUAACGUCUGGAAACGGACGCUAAUACCGCAUAAGAUCGUAGGACCGCAUGGUCUAGCGACCAAAGGAGCAAUCCGCUGUAAGAUGGGCUCGCGUCCGAUUAGCUAGUUGGUGAGGUAACGGCUCACCAAGGCGACGAUCGGUAGCCGGACUGAGAGGUUGAACGGCCACAUUGGGACUGAGACACGGCCCAGACUCC
RNAcentral lists this ribosomal RNA (278 nucleotides) under uncultured Oscillospiraceae bacterium. RNAcentral's name for it is "partial 16S ribosomal RNA". It matches the Rfam family "Bacterial small subunit ribosomal RNA", at positions 68 to 339 of the family's 1533-position model. Lineage: Bacteria; Bacillati; Bacillota; Clostridia; Eubacteriales; Oscillospiraceae. The record is from RNAcentral.